GAUGAACGCUGGCGGCGUGCCUAAUACAUGCAAGUCGAGCGAACAGACGAGGAGCUUGCUCCUCUGACGUUAGCGGCGGACGGGUGAGCAACACGUGGAUAACCUACCUACAAGACUGGGAUAACUUCGGGAAACCGGAGCUAAUACCGGAUAAUAUAUUGAACCGCAUGGUUCAAUAGUGAAAGACGGUUUUGCUGUCACUUAUAGAUGGAUCCGCGCCGCAUUAGCUAGUUGGUAAGGUAACGGCUUACCAAGGCGACGAUGCGUAGCCGACCUGAGAGGGUGAUCGGCCACACUGGAACUGAGACACGGUCCAGACUCCUACGGGAGGCAGCAGUAGGGAAUCUUCCGCAAUGGGCGAAAGCCUGACGGAGCAACGCCGCGUGAGUGAUGAAGGUCUUCGGAUCGUAAAACUCUGUUAUUAGGGAAGAACAAAUGUGUAAGUAACUAUGCACGUCUUGACGGUACCUAAUCAGAAAGCCACGGCUAACUACGUG
Molecule: ribosomal RNA, 497 nt
Filed under: uncultured bacterium
Lineage: Bacteria
Description: partial 16S ribosomal RNA
Rfam family: Bacterial small subunit ribosomal RNA
Source: RNAcentral